UCCUCAGUAGCUCAGCUGGUUAGAGCACCUGACUGUUAAUCAGGGGGUCGCUGGUUCGAGCCCAGCCUGAGGAG
RNAcentral lists this transfer RNA (74 nucleotides) under Thermonema sp. RNAcentral describes it as "tRNA-Asn". It matches the Rfam family "tRNA". From Rfam's summary of the family: Transfer RNA (tRNA) molecules are approximately 80 nucleotides in length. Their secondary structure includes four short double-helical elements and three loops (D, anti-codon, and T loops). Lineage: Bacteria; Pseudomonadati; Bacteroidota; Cytophagia; Cytophagales; Thermonemataceae. The record is from RNAcentral.